Molecule: ribosomal RNA, 492 nt
Filed under: uncultured bacterium
Lineage: Bacteria
Description: partial 16S ribosomal RNA
Rfam family: Bacterial small subunit ribosomal RNA
Source: RNAcentral
AGUGAACGCUGGCGGUAGGCCUAACACAUGCAAGUCGAACGGCAGCACAGUAAGAGCUUGCUCUUACGGGUGGCGAGUGGCGGACGGGUGAGGAAUACAUCGGAAUCUACUUUUUCGUGGGGGAUAACGUAGAGAAACUUACGCUAAUACCGCAUACGACCUACGGGUGAAAUCAGGGGAUCUUCGGACCUUGCGCGAUUGAAUGAGCCGAUGUCGGAUUAGCUAGUUGGCGGGGUAAAGGCCCACCAAGGCGACGAUCCGUAGCUGGUCUGAGAGGAUGAUCAGCCACACUGGAACUGAGACACGGUCCAGACUCCUACGGGAGGCAGCAGUGGGGAAUAUUGGACAAUGGGCGCAAGCCUGAUCCAGCCAUACCGCGUGGGUGAAGAAGGCCUUCGGGUUGUAAAGCCCUUUUGUUGGGAAAGAAAAGCAGCAGGUUAAUACCCCGCUGUUCUGACGGUACCCAAAGAAUAAGCACCGGCUAACUUCGUG